GAAUUUCGUCCAAAAUGGUAUAUUAUCCCGUAAAAAGAAUUUGUAGAAUUGCGCGUAGUCUAGAAAGUGAUGAUGGUACCCGCUACAGAAAUAAAAAUAAAAACAAAAAUGCACGGUAGAAUCCAGGGACAAUGCUCCUAGGAAGUAGUAGGACACAUGAAAAAAUAAAAAUAAAAAUAAAAAAAUAGAAAAAGAAAAUAUCCAUGUCAUCACGGGGUAGAUACAUAGGUGAAGAUGAUUUGGCAGCGUCAUAAGUUGCGAACUUAUAUUAGAAGAGAGGCAGCAUGUGUUGGGUUGAUGUGGACGUGUGUCACUCACUCACCCACGUAGGACCGACCAGACCAUUUUCCAUACUUUCACGUGAUGUUUCUCGAUCCAACCAAAUGUUGCUCACUCUACUCACCAGUCAAUCCCUAAAUAUCCUCAUCAUGGCGACAUCCUUACCCUCUUCCAUUUAUCAUCUUCAUCCCAAC
This 473-nucleotide long non-coding RNA is filed under the name Vigna radiata. RNAcentral's name for it is "long non-coding RNA (VRAD_LNC006626)". The record is from RNAcentral. Lineage: Eukaryota; Viridiplantae; Streptophyta; Magnoliopsida; Fabales; Fabaceae.